Molecule: long non-coding RNA, 521 nt
Organism: Hippocampus comes (tiger tail seahorse)
Lineage: Eukaryota; Metazoa; Chordata; Actinopteri; Syngnathiformes; Syngnathidae
Exons: 2
Source: RefSeq, a predicted model, not a curated record
AUGAAGUGCCAAACCUCUCCCAUUGCUCUAAUGCAUGCAAUUUAUGACACUAAUGGUUGUUCUCCGCCUUGAAAAAAAACAAAUGGUAUGUCUUCAUCGCUCUUCUAUUUAUGUCCGUCUUAUGUUGGCGGUUCUGCUGCUAGGGCUAAUUUGAACGGUGGGGGGAGGAUGUCACGUUAAUGCUCACGAACUGACACCGUGAAGAUGAUGAUGAUGAUGAUGAGCCCAAAUGUUGACUGCACUUCCUGUUUAUUGACGCUCGUGCGCAGGUCCGUCUAUACUGUACUGUUCUAUGUGUAAAGCUAUCAAUGAAAAAAAAUCUAUCCCUUUAUUUAUUGUACUGCACCUUGUGUUGAUUUACUUUGUUCAAGAAUGACAAAUGAUAAUAAAAUGUCUGAAUUAAAUGUGUGUGCCUGUUGUCAUAUUCAAUGGCUUUACUCGUUAUCCAUCCACAGGGUGAUUGUGAAUGGAACCGAGUGUGAUCCAACACGCUCCCAAAAGAAAAAAAACAUUGUGACUCA